UACAGAGGGUGGAAGCGUUAUUCGGAAUUAUUGGGCGUAAAGAGCGCGUAGGUGGUUCGGUAAGUCUGAUGUGAAAUCCCUGGACUCAAUUCAGGAAGCGCAUUGGAUACUGCCAGGCUAGAGUACAGGAGAGGUGAGCGGAAUUCCCGGUGUAGAGGUGAAAUUCGUAGAUAUCGGGAGGAACAACAGUGGCGAAGGCGGCUCACUGGACUGUAACUGACGCUGAGGCGCGAAAGCGUGGGGAGCAAACAGG
Molecule: ribosomal RNA, 253 nt
Filed under: uncultured bacterium
Lineage: Bacteria
Description: partial 16S ribosomal RNA
Rfam family: Bacterial small subunit ribosomal RNA
Source: RNAcentral